UUGACGCUGGCGGCAGGCCUAACACAUGCAAGUCGAGCGGAUGAAGGGAGCUUGCUCCUUGUUUUAGCGGCGGACGGGUGAGUAAUGCUUAGGAAUCUGCCUGUUAGUGGGGGACAACAUUUCGAAAGGAGCGCUAAUACCGCAUACGUCCUACGGGAGAAAGCGGGGGAUCUUCGGACCUUGCGCUAUUAGAUGAGCCUAAGUCGGAUUAGCUAGUUGGUGGGGUAAAGGCYUACCAAGGCGACGAUCYGUAACUGGUCUGAGAGGAUGAUCCGUCACACUGGAACUGAGACACGGUCCAGACUCCUACGGGAGGCAGCAGUGGGGAAUAUUGGACAAUGGGCGCAAGCCUGAUCCAGCCAUGCCGCGUGUGUGAAGAAGGUCUUAUGGUUGUAAAGCACUUUAAGC
RNAcentral lists this ribosomal RNA (408 nucleotides) under Pseudomonas putida. RNAcentral describes it as "bacterial SSU rRNA". It matches the Rfam family "Bacterial small subunit ribosomal RNA", at positions 33 to 440 of the family's 1533-position model. The record is from RNAcentral. Lineage: Bacteria; Pseudomonadati; Pseudomonadota; Gammaproteobacteria; Pseudomonadales; Pseudomonadaceae.